This 484-nucleotide ribosomal RNA is filed under the name uncultured bacterium. RNAcentral's name for it is "partial 16S ribosomal RNA". It matches the Rfam family "Bacterial small subunit ribosomal RNA", at positions 28 to 523 of the family's 1533-position model. The record is from RNAcentral.
GACGAACGCUGGCGGCGUGCUUAACACAUGCGAGUCGAACGAUGAAGCCGGAGCUUGCUCUGGUGAAUUAGUGGCGAACGGGUGAGUAACACGUGAGUAACCUGCCCUUGACUCUGGGAUAACUGCGGGAAACUGUAGCUAAUACCGGAUACGACCCUCGGAGGCAUCUCCUGGGGGUGGAAAGAAUUUCGGUCAAGGAUGGACUCGCGGCCUAUCAGCUAGUUGGUGAGGUAAAGGCUCACCAAGGCGACGACGGGUAGCCGGCCUGAGAGGGUGACCGGCCACACUGGGACUGAGCAACGGCCCAGACUCCUACGGGAGGCAGCAGUGGGGAAUAUUGCACAAUGGGCGCAAGCCUGAUGCAGCAACGCCGCGUGAGGGAUGACGGCCUUCGGGUUGUAAACCUCUUUUAGCAGGGAAGAAGCGAAAGUGACGGUGCCUGCAGAAAAAGCACCGGCUAACUACGUGCCAGCCGCCGCGGUAA